Molecule: ribosomal RNA, 253 nt
Filed under: uncultured bacterium
Lineage: Bacteria
Description: partial 16S ribosomal RNA
Rfam family: Bacterial small subunit ribosomal RNA
Source: RNAcentral
UACGUAGGGCGCAAGCGUUGUCCGGAAUUAUUGGGCGUAAAGAGCUCGUAGGCGGUUUGUCACGUCGGGUGUGAAAGCCCACAGCUUAACUGUGGGUCUGCAUUCGAUACGGGCAGACUAGAGGCAGGUAGGGGAGAACGGAAUUCCCGGUGUAGCGGUGAAAUGCGCAGAUAUCAGGAGGAACACCGGUGGCGAAGGCGGGUCUCUGGGCCGUAACUGACGCUGAGGAGCGAAAGCGUGGGGAGCAAACAGG